GCCACGCCCACUCCUACGCGAAUCCACAACUCCCAUUGGCCGCUGUCCCCCCAGGCCACGCCCACCCCCACCCCAAACCACGCCCCCUUUUCCUUGGCCACGCCCCCGAGCCAUCUAAGGCCACGCCCACCCCAAGGCCACGCCCACUCCUACUCGAAACCACGCCCCCACGUUCCCAUUGGCCACUGUCCCUCAGGCCACGCCCACACGCGCUCUAAACCACGCCCCCUUCUCCUUGGCCACGCCCCCGAGUCACCCAAGCCACGCCCACACCCCAGGCCACGCCCACUCCUACUCCAAUCCACGCCCCCCAUUGGCCAGUGUCCCCCUCAGGCCACGCCCACACCCACUCUAAACCACGCCCCCUUCUCCCUUGGCCACGCCCCCAAGUCAUCUAAGCCACGCCCACACCUCCAGGCCACGCCCACUCCUACUCGAAACCACACCCCCCACGCUCUCUCAAUUCCCAUUGGCCACUGUCCCUCAGGCCACGCCCACACCCGCUCUAAACCACGCCCUUCUCCUUGGCCACGCCCACUUUUUCCUAAGCCACGCCCACGCCCUCAGGCCACGCCCACUCCUACUCGAAACUACGCCCCCACGUUCCCAUUGGCCACUGUCCCCCCAGGCCACCCCUACGCCCGCUGUAAGCCACGCCCCUUCUCCUUGGCCACGCCCCCUGAGCCACCUAACCCACGCCCACCCCCAGGCCACGCCCACUCCUACGCGAAUCCACGCCUCCCAUUGGCCAGUGCCCCCCAGGCCACGCCCACACCCACCCUAAACCACGCCCCGUUCGCCUUGGCCGCGCCCCGUCACCCAAAGCCACGCCCACACCUGCUCGAAACUACGCCCCCUUGUUUCCCAUUGGCCACGCCCACCCUCGCACAGCUCCCAUUGGCCACUCUGCCCACACCCACCCUAAGCCACGCCCCGAAGAAACCUUGGCCACGCCCCCUCCUCCCAUUGGCCACUCUCCCCCCUUCCCGAUCGGUCUCGGCCAUUCCCUCGCCUCCCAUUGGUCACUCUCCCCGUCACUCAUUUCGAUCUUGGCCACGCCCCCUCCUCCCAUUGGCUACUUCCCCCAGGCCCGGCCACAACGCGGAAGUGGCACCUGGGUCCGGCGGCACGUGGGGAACAGCGCUGCCCCAUAGAUCCUGCCCCAUAGGUCCUGACCCAUAG
This 1182-nucleotide long non-coding RNA is filed under the name Coturnix japonica (Japanese quail). RNAcentral describes it as "lncRNA (ENSCJPG00005002435.1)". Lineage: Eukaryota; Metazoa; Chordata; Aves; Galliformes; Phasianidae. The record is from RNAcentral.